AGCAUCAAGUACGUUGUGGAACCCAACAAUAUGGGCGGCAUGCGUCUGCCCAACGGCACUUGGACAGGCACCAUGAAAAUGUUAUUUGAAGAUGAAAUUGAUAUAACGUCGCUGAUGAUCCUUUCCCACGAGCGAUCUGAGGCAUUUGACUGGACGGAGUUCCUGUACCUGGAGGAACACACGGUUGGCUACAAGCGACCUGUGAUUGAGUCUGAUAUCACAGGCUUCUAUAAACCUUUCUCCGGUCAGGUGUGGUUGCUGGUGGCGGUAGUGGUGGUAGUAGUGCCUGUUAGCCACACGGUGCUCAGGUGGACGCACCGUCAGCUGCCUCGGCGUGAGCUGCACAGCAGCAAAGAAUCAAGUCAGCAGCAGCGUCUCAAUGUGGGCACUGACACACGGGACUCCAUCAUGUGGAUGCUAUCUGCCCUCCUGGCACAGUCUCUGCCCCUGACACCGCCGCGUGGAGUAGUGAGGAUCUUGACAGGGCUCUGGCUGCUGCUGGCCCUCAUCCUGGUCACUGUAUACAGGUCUAACCUCAAGGCAAUGUUAAUCCUCCCAAAAAUAAACCUUCCCUUUGACAACUUGGACCAGCUGACGCACACCGAAAUACCUGUCUGGGUGUCACUCAACUCAAUGCUUCAUGCUGCCGCUGUGAAUGGAGAGAAAAACUCCACCAUGGGACGCUUCAAUUCUCUUAUAAACAGUGUGGGAAAGCCUAACAAUGUAACUCAAGCAAUAGUGGAUCUGGUAGCAGGCCGCCAAGCCCUGGCUGCCCCUCGUUCCGCACUGGUUCAAAUAUUGCACUCGCUCUUCACAAUGACAGGAAAGUGUUCUACAUACCUUAUGUCAGAGAGCUUCCUCAAGACCAACAUCGGGUGCCUCAUUCUCCAAAAAUAUUCCCCCCUAAAGGACCAACUGGACCCUAUACUACGUAACUUGCGGGAGUUUGGGAUCUUAAAUCGGAUGUACCAUCGGGGAGUAGUAAAUGCUGAAGAGUGUCUCAAGUCCAUAUCAGCAAAAUUGGAUGACUCCUGGCGUGCCCUCAGUCUAGAAGAUUUCUACGGUGUUUUUUUAGUAUACUCUUGUGGAAUGGGAAUAGCAAGCAUCAUGUUCAUGGUAGAACUAACUCUGAGAAUACUGCCUAGCCUGCAUACAUCUCAUGCCUGAGUGACUCGUCAUCUGACCUGAUGCCUUACACUGGUGAUACUGCUAGAGUGACAGUUGGUUCCAAUGUUAUUCAAGUUUCAUCAGUCAUGACAGGAACUUCUGUCAGAAGGAUGUCUAACCUGGAAUAUAUAAUAGAUAGACUUCUUGAAGCCAUAAUUGUCUGUUAGUGAUUCACCUAACUUGUAUCACUGUAGACAGAGUAUCAUAACCAUGUGAGUUAUGGUAUGGAUGGCAUUAAUAAAAAUUAGCACUAUCA
Molecule: unclassified non-coding RNA, 1423 nt
Filed under: Portunus trituberculatus (swimming crab)
Lineage: Eukaryota; Metazoa; Arthropoda; Malacostraca; Decapoda; Portunidae
Description: glutamate [NMDA] receptor subunit 1-like, transcript variant X1
Source: RNAcentral